GUGAAGCGGGAAAAGCUCAAAUUUAAAAUCUGGCGGUUUUGGCCGUCCGAGUUGUAGUCUGGAGAAGUGCUUUCCGCGCCGGACCGUGUACAAGUCUCCUGGAACGGAGCGUCAUAGAGGGUGAGAAUCCCGUCUUUGACACGGACUACCGGUGCUUUGUGAUGCGCUCUCAAAGAGUCGAGUUGUUUGGGAAUGCAGCUCAAAAUGGGUGGUGAAUUCCAUCUAAAGCUAAAUAUUGGCGAGAGACCGAUAGCGAACAAGUACCGUGAGGGAAAGAUGAAAAGCACUUUGGAAAGAGAGUUAAACAGUACGUGAAAUUGCUGAAAGGGAAACGAUUGAAGUCAGUCGCGUCGUCCGGAACUCAGCCUUGCCUCGGCUUGGUGCACUUUCCGGUUGACGGGCCAGCAUCGAUUUUGACCGGCGGAUAAAGGUUCGAGGAAUGUGGCACCCUCGGGUGUGUUAUAGCCUCGGAUUGUAUACGUCGGUUGGGAUCGAGGAACUCAGCUUCGGCUUAGGAUGCUGGCGUAAUGGCUUUAAACGACCCGUCUUGAAACACGGACCAAGGAGUCUAACAUGCCCGCGAGUGUUUGGGUGGUAAACCCAGGCGCGUAAUGAAAGUGAAAGUCGAGACCUCUGUCGUGGAGGGCAUCGACGCCCGGACCUGACCUUCUGUGACGGCUCCNCGGUAGAGCGUGUAUGUUGGGACCCGAAAGAUGGUGAACUAUGCCUGAAUAGGGUGAAGCCAGAGGAAACUCUGGUGGAGGCUCGUAGCGAUUCUGACGUGCAAAUCGAUCGUCAAAUUUGGG
This 806-nucleotide ribosomal RNA is filed under the name Tyromyces chioneus. RNAcentral describes it as "partial large subunit ribosomal RNA". It matches the Rfam family "Eukaryotic large subunit ribosomal RNA", at positions 93 to 915 of the family's 3401-position model. Lineage: Eukaryota; Fungi; Basidiomycota; Agaricomycetes; Polyporales; Incrustoporiaceae. The record is from RNAcentral.